GAUGAACGCUGGCGGCGUGCCUAAUACAUGCAAGUCGAGCGAACAGACGAGGAGCUUGCUCCUCUGACGUUAGCGGCGGACGGGUGAGUAACACGUGGAUAACCUACCUAUAAGACUGGGAUAACUUCGGGAAACCGGAGCUAAUACCGGAUAAUAUAUUGAACCGCAUGGUUCAAUAGUGAAAGACGGUUUUGCUGUCACUUAUAGAUGGAUCCGCGCCGCAUUAGCUAGUUGGUAAGGUAACGGCUUACCAAGGCAACGAUGCGUAGCCGACCUGAGAGGGUGAUCGGCCAAACUGGAACUGAGACACGGCCCAGACUCCUACGGGAGGCAGCAGUAGGGAAUCUUCCGAAAUGGGCGAAAGCCGGACGGAGCAACGCCGCGUGAGUGAUGAAGGUCUUCGGAUCGUAAAACUCUGUUAUUAGGGAAGAACAAAUGUGUAAGUAACUAUGCACGUCUUGACGGUACCUAAUCAGAAAGCAACGGCUAACUACGU
This 496-nucleotide ribosomal RNA is filed under the name uncultured bacterium. Its description in RNAcentral is "partial 16S ribosomal RNA". It matches the Rfam family "Bacterial small subunit ribosomal RNA", at positions 28 to 506 of the family's 1533-position model. The record is from RNAcentral.